UGACUAUAAAAGAACAGAGAAGGAAGGGCUUCGGUGACCGGCAGCCUGGCUGACUUACAGCAGUCAGACUCUGACAGGAUCAUGGCUAUGAUGGAGGUCCAGGGGGGACCCAGCCUGGGGCAGACCUGCGUGCUGAUCGUGAUCUUCACAGUGCUCCUGCAGUCUCUCUGUGUGGCUGUAACUUACGUGUACUUUACCAACGAGCUGAAGCAGAUGCAGGACAAGUACUCCAAAAGUGGCAUUGCUUGUUUCUUAAAAGAAGAUGACAGCUCUUGGGACCCUAAUGACGAAGACAGUAUGAACAGCCCCUGCUGGCAAGUCAAGUGGCAACUCCGUCAGCUCGUUAGAAAGAUGAUUUUGAGAACCUCUGAGGAAACCAUUUCUACAGUUCAAGGUAGUAUCUUUUUUGUUGCUAUUUUAAUUUUUUACUGUCAUCUUCAUGACAGGUUGUGAAUAGUUCUCCAUUCUCCUUCUCUGUGUUCUCAUCCACUCAUCCAUCCUCUGAUCUGCUGCUCUGUAUCUCAAGCCACUUGUUGAUUCUACUUCUCUCUUUACAUUGGCAGCUA
RNAcentral lists this small RNA (566 nucleotides) under Pongo abelii (Sumatran orangutan). Its description in RNAcentral is "retained intron". The record is from RNAcentral. Lineage: Eukaryota; Metazoa; Chordata; Mammalia; Primates; Hominidae.